RNAcentral lists this non-coding RNA (30 nucleotides) under Mus musculus (house mouse). Lineage: Eukaryota; Metazoa; Chordata; Mammalia; Rodentia; Muridae. The record is from RNAcentral.
UGACCACAAGAAGUUGACAAGGGCUGUUUA